This is a long non-coding RNA of Mytilus trossulus (common blue mussel), 266 nucleotides long. RefSeq lists it as uncharacterized. NCBI's taxonomy places the organism in Eukaryota, Metazoa, Mollusca, Bivalvia, Mytilida, Mytilidae. The transcript has 3 exons. The record is from RefSeq and is a predicted model, not a curated record.
GUGACGGCACCUCCUUGUCUUCACUACACAGUUUCAUCUGUCGCAGUAAGCAGUGAUUAACGAAGCAAACAUAUAUUGAAUUAUUUCAAUCAGUGAAUACGAAAAAUUAUGAAAAAAAGAACGAAGAAGGAUCGUGAUAAAGUCGAGAAUAUGGCACCUACAAAACAGGCUGUGCGCAAGAAGACGACAGAAAGAAUCGGAUCAAGAAGCCAGAAAAUCCAGAUAGAGUAUGAUACAGUGGAAUACGUAGACAGAACAGGAAAUGA